RNAcentral lists this ribosomal RNA (631 nucleotides) under Pseudomonas sp. PF2M17. RNAcentral's name for it is "bacterial SSU rRNA". It matches the Rfam family "Bacterial small subunit ribosomal RNA", at positions 103 to 729 of the family's 1533-position model. Lineage: Bacteria; Pseudomonadati; Pseudomonadota; Gammaproteobacteria; Pseudomonadales; Pseudomonadaceae. The record is from RNAcentral.
CGGGUGAGUAAUGCCUAGGAAUCUGCCUGGUAGUGGGGGAUAACGCUCGGAAACGGACGCUAAUACCGCAUACGUCCUACGGGAGAAAGCAGGGGACCUUCGGGCCUUGCGCUAUCAGAUGAGCCUAGGUCGGAUUAGCUAGUUGGUGAGGUAAUGGCUCACCAAGGCGACGAUCCGUAACUGGUCUGAGAGGAUGAUCAGUCACACUGGAACUGAGACACGGUCCAGACUCCUACGGGAGGCAGCAGUGGGGAAUAUUGGACAAUGGGCGAAAGCCUGAUCCAGCCAUGCCGCGUGUGUGAAGAAGGUCUUCGGAUUGUAAAGCACUUUAAGUUGGGAGGAAGGGCAGUUACCUAAUACGUAUCUGUUUUGACGUUACCGACAGAAUAAGCACCGGCUAACUCUGUGCCAGCAGCCGCGGUAAUACAGAGGGUGCAAGCGUUAAUCGGAAUUACUGGGCGUAAAGCGCGCGUAGGUGGUUUGUUAAGUUGGAUGUGAAAUCCCCGGGCUCAACCUGGGAACUGCAUUCAAAACUGACAAGCUAGAGUAUGGUAGAGGGUGGUGGAAUUUCCUGUGUAGCGGUGAAAUGCGUAGAUAUAGGAAGGAACACCACGUGGCGAUGGCGACCACC